GGGCGUAAAGAGCUCGUAGGCGGUCUGUCGCGUCUGCUGUGAAAACUGGAGGCUCAACCUCCAGCCUACAGUGGGUACGGGCAAACUAGAGUGCGGUAGGGGAGAUUGGAAUUCCUGGUGUAGCGGUGGAAUGCGCAGAUAUCAGGAGGAACACCGAUGGCGAAGGCAGAUCUCUGGGCCGUAACUGACGCUGAGGAGCGAAAGCGUGGGGAGCGAACAGGAUUAGAUACCCUGGUAGUCCACGCCGUAAACGUUGGGAACUAGAUGUGGGGUCCAUUCCACGGAUUCCGUGUCGCAGCUAACGCAUUAAGUUCCCCGCCUGGGGAGUACGGCCGCAAGGCUAAAACUCAAAGGAAUUGACGGGGGCCCGCACAAGCGGCGGAGCAUGCGGAUUAAUUCGAUGCAACGCGAAGAACCUUACCAAGGCUUGACAUAUACCUGAAAAGGCUGGAAACAGUCUCCCCGCAAGGCAGGUAUACAGGUGGUGCAUGGUUGUCGUCAGCUCGUGUCGUGAGAUGUUGGGUUAAGUCCCGCAACGAGCGCAACCCUCGUUCUAUGUUGCCAGCACGUUAUGGUGGGAACUCAUAGGAGACUGCCGGGGUCAACUCGGAGGAAGGUAAU
Molecule: ribosomal RNA, 621 nt
Filed under: uncultured Actinomycetes bacterium
Lineage: Bacteria; Bacillati; Actinomycetota; Actinomycetes
Description: bacterial SSU rRNA
Rfam family: Bacterial small subunit ribosomal RNA
Source: RNAcentral